RNAcentral lists this unclassified non-coding RNA (606 nucleotides) under Trichosporon asteroides. Lineage: Eukaryota; Fungi; Basidiomycota; Tremellomycetes; Trichosporonales; Trichosporonaceae. The record is from RNAcentral.
AGGAGAGUCUGUAGCAGUAGAGUAGCCUUGUUGCUACGAUCUGCUGAGGCUCAGCUUUUGUUCUACAGAUUUGUCCUUUUGGACUCUCUAUGAUUGGCAUGGACUGGGGGGCGACUCCAGCGUAUUAAUCAUAGACAGUUUAACAAGACAUGAAGUAGAGAGUAGAGAACAAGAACGUAUGUAGUGCAGAAGAAGAAGGAGACGAGCAGCGAGCGACUUGGCAGAGUUCUGACUUGGUCGAAUUUCUCAAAGUUGCAAGUUGGAAGGAUGGACUGGGGGAGACAAGGGCUCUGUAGCAGCGCGGUUGAGGACUUGGACAGGUCCCCUUCGCAGAGAGCAAGGCUCCAGGCAGUGCGAGCGGUGGGUGAGGGUGAGGACUGGGCUGAGGCCAAAGUUGAGAGCUGGCAGACUUGGGUUGGUACUGGUGAGCAUGCUGGGUUCUGCAAAGGACCAAGUAUGAGUGCUGAUGCCCCCAAGGCUGCCAGUUUGCUUGUGUGUCCUUCCAGGAGCGACAGGCUUAUAGGGGCUGUUCUGACAUACUGUCAUCUACGGCCAUAGGAUCCAGAAAAUACCGCAUCCCGUCCGAUCUGCGAAGUCAAGCUAAAA